RNAcentral lists this ribosomal RNA (492 nucleotides) under uncultured bacterium. RNAcentral's name for it is "bacterial SSU rRNA". It matches the Rfam family "Bacterial small subunit ribosomal RNA", at positions 28 to 534 of the family's 1533-position model. The record is from RNAcentral.
GACGAACGCUGGCGGCGUGCUUAACACAUGCAAGUCGAACGGACGAGUGAGAUAAGUUUACUUAACUCACAAGUUAGUGGCGGACGGGUGAGUAACACGUGGAUAAUCUACCUGCAACACCGGGAUAACGCUGUGAAAACGGUGCUAAUACCGGAUACGUUCCCUUGUGCGCAUGUAUGAGGGAAGAAAGCUCAGGCGGUUGCAGAUGAGUCCGCGGCUGAUUAGCUAGUUGGUGAGGUAAAGGCUCACCAAGGCGAUGAUCAGUAGCCGGCCUGAGAGGGUGAACGGCCACACUGGGACUGAGACACGGCCCAGACUCCUACGGGAGGCAGCAGUGGGGAAUCUUCCGCAAUGGGCGCAAGCCUGACGGAGCAACGCCGCGUGGGUGAAGAAGGCCUCGGUGUAAGCCUGUCUUAUGGAGAAGUACAGUGACGGUACCAUAGGAGGAAGCCACGGCUAACUACGUGCAGCAGCCGCGGUAAGAGUAGUACA